This 806-nucleotide long non-coding RNA is filed under the name Nicotiana benthamiana. RNAcentral's name for it is "long non-coding RNA (NBEN_LNC010344)". Lineage: Eukaryota; Viridiplantae; Streptophyta; Magnoliopsida; Solanales; Solanaceae. The record is from RNAcentral.
CUUUUUUAUUAUUUUGGUUUUCUGCCUGUUUUAGUAAUUAGGUUGAGUUUAUUCGAGUUAAUUUAAAAUUUAAAUGGCGUCUUAAUAAAUUUCAAUCUUGUUACUUCUAGUAUGAUUGCAUGAAUGGUUGUUAAUUUCGUCUGUGGAAUUGGACGAUUGGCUUGUUUGAUCUGAAUAAUUUCCUUGAUUCCAGCAAUAUCAUUCUUGAUCUCUGAAUCUGAACAUUGGUUCAAAUUCAUGCAAUUAGGAAAGGGCCUUGACUGUUUUGAUUCUCAUGGUUGUUCAUUAGUGUCAGUAAUCUCUUGAUUAUUUUAAGUUUAAAAUGUCGAUUAAUGGAUCGCAUGUUUUGAAGUAUCAAUUGCUGUGUUUUGAAUAAUAACUUCCCAUGUAUUGGGCCUGAUUUCUAAUUUGAUUGCUGAAGUUGGAUUGUUUGUCCUUGAGUAGUGUUAUUUGGAUUGGUUAUAGCUGUUAUGAUUAGGAAAUUAGUCUUAGGAGUUAGGUUUGGCACCAAAUAGAUAACUUGAGGGCAGUACAGGAUUUUCCCAUUUAAUUCUGGUAAAUUUAGGACAAAUACGGGUUUAUAUGGAGUAUUCGGGUUGUUUUUGAUAAUAUUGGGAACAAAUAAGAGUAAUAUAGGUAAUAUAUAAAGGGUAGAAAAUGGUAGAAGUCUUUAGACCCUUCUAGAAGGGGUCUUUAAUACAAAAUCAGUAGUACUACUACAGUAACUUGGGAAACAAGUCAAGAAAUAAGGGUCCAAAUAAGCAAAGUCUGAAAAAUUAAAAAGGGGACUUUAGGGUAAAACAAAA